AGUGAACGCUGGCGGUAGGCCUAACACAUGCAAGUCGAACGGCAGCACAGUAAGAGCUUGCUAUUACGGGUGGCGAGUGGCGGACGGGUGAGGAAUACAUCGGAAUCUACUUUUUCGUGGGGGAUAACGUAGGGAAACUUACGCUAAUACCGCAUACGACCUACGGGUGAAAGCAGGGGAUCUUCGGACCUUGCGCGAUUGAAUGAGCCGAUGUCGGAUUAGCUAGUUGGGGGGGUAAAGGCCCACCAAGGCGACGAUCCGUAGCUGGUCUGAGAGGAGGACACGCCACACGGGAACUGAGACACGGCCCAGACGCCUACGGGAGGCAGCAGUGGGGAAUUUGGGAAAAUGGGCGCGAGCCUGAUCCAGCCAUGCCGCGUGGGGGAAGAAGGCCUUCGGGUUGUAAAGCCCUUUUGUUGGGAAAGAAAAUGUGCCCGUUAAUACCCCGCGCUUAUGACGGUACCAAAAGAAUAAGCACCGGCUAACUACGU
RNAcentral lists this ribosomal RNA (491 nucleotides) under uncultured bacterium. Its description in RNAcentral is "partial 16S ribosomal RNA". It matches the Rfam family "Bacterial small subunit ribosomal RNA", at positions 29 to 506 of the family's 1533-position model. The record is from RNAcentral.